This 447-nucleotide ribosomal RNA is filed under the name uncultured bacterium. Its description in RNAcentral is "partial 16S ribosomal RNA". It matches the Rfam family "Bacterial small subunit ribosomal RNA", at positions 29 to 523 of the family's 1533-position model. The record is from RNAcentral.
AACGAACGCUGGCGGCAGGCCUAACACAUGCAAGUCGAGCGCUCUAGCAAUAGAGAGCGGCGCACGGGUGAGUAACGCGUAGGAAUCUACCUUGUAGUACGGAACAACAGUUGGAAACGACUGCUAAUACCGUAUACGCCCUUCGGGGGAAAGAAUUUCGCUAUAAGAUGAGCCUGCGUUAGAUUAGCUAGUUGGUGAGGUAAUGGCUCACCAAGGCUCCGAUCUAUAGCUGGUCUGAGAGGAUGAUCAGCCACACUGGGACUGAGACACGGCCCAGACUCCUACGGGAGGCAGCAGUGGGGGAUAUUGGGCAAUGGGCGCAAGCCUGACCCAGCCAUGCCGCGUGAGUGAUGACGGCCUUAGGGUUGUAAAGCUCCUUUAGUGGUGAGGAUGAUGACGGUAACCACAGAAAAGCCCCGGCUAACUUCGUGCCAGCCGCCGCGGUAA